RNAcentral lists this ribosomal RNA (435 nucleotides) under uncultured bacterium. RNAcentral's name for it is "partial 16S ribosomal RNA". It matches the Rfam family "Bacterial small subunit ribosomal RNA", at positions 29 to 507 of the family's 1533-position model. The record is from RNAcentral.
AGCGAACGCUGGCGGCAGGCUUAACACAUGCAAGUCGAACGCAUCACUUCGGUGGUGAGUGGCAGACGGGUGAGUAACACGUGGGAACGUACCCUUCGAUCUGGGAUAACUUCGGGAAACUGGAGCUAAUACCGGAUACGCCCUUUUGGGGAAAGGUUUACUGUCGAAGGAUCGGCCCGCGUCUGAUUAGCUAGUUGGUGGGGUAACGGCCUACCAAGGCGACGAUCAGUAGCUGGUCUGAGAGGAUGAUCAGCCACACUGGGACUGAGACACGGCCCAGACUCCUACGGGAGGCAGCAGUGGGGAAUAUUGGACAAGGGGCGCAAGCCUGAUCCAGCCAUGCCGCGUGAGUGAUGAAGGCCUUAGGGUUGUAAAGCUCUUUUGUCCGGGACGAUAAUGACGGUACCGGAAGAAUAAGCCCCGGCUAACUUCGUG